UGCAGUUACGGUCAGGCAAUCAAGGUAAACUGUGCAUAUGCCAGUGGCCAGAGGGAGGUUACUUCAGGCGACUUCAACAUCUUUGUUGGUGACCCUAAGUCCUGAAGUCACUGAUGGGACUCUGUUUGCAUGCUUUUCAGUGUAUUCCAGCUGUUCAGAUGCACGGGUUAUGUGGGAUCAUAAAACUGGGCGCUCAAGGGGAUUUGCCUUUGUUUCUUUCCGUAAUCAGCGGAUGGAGGAGGUCAAGAGAAUGUAAGUGACGAGGCCCCUGAAAACAACCCUGUAUUUUCAACCGUCUAUGUUGGUAAUCUUGCACACGAGGUAAAAUAGAAGAACUGAGACAUUGUGUUGGUUGCAUGGUUUGUACAAUUGAGAGAAAAAAAAAAUGUCCCUUAAAUUGAUGCCCCAUCAUUUGCAGCAUGUUUAUUUUUAUCAUCUAUGCUGACAUUUCCUGUUUUUCCUGUUUCGAUGGCCAAUUCGUCAGGUGACUCCAACUGAACUCCAUCGCCAGUUUCAUUCUCUUGGGGUUGGUGUCAUUGAAGAAGUGCAUGUAAGAGAGAUAAAGGUUUUGGAUUUGUAAGGUACCAGUACGACACACAUGAUCAAGCAGCCCUGGCCAUGGAGUCUAUGCUGGCACCUGGCAACUUAAUCGGGUGCCCAUGGAUAGCUGCAACAUUACUCAAUCAACAACUGUUUCCCAGAAUCUGCCCCAAGUUGGACAUAUAACUGUUUCCCAUGAAUGGAUUAUAAAAUGAUUAAAAUGAAUGAUUGUG
Long non-coding RNA from Magnolia sinica, 773 nucleotides. RefSeq lists it as uncharacterized. The transcript has 4 exons. NCBI's taxonomy places the organism in Eukaryota, Viridiplantae, Streptophyta, Magnoliopsida, Magnoliales, Magnoliaceae. The record is from RefSeq and is a predicted model, not a curated record.